GAGAACAUAGCUCAGUGGUAGAGUGUGUGCUUAGCAUGCAUGAGGUCCUGGGUUCAAUCCCCGGUACUUCCA
Molecule: transfer RNA, 72 nt
Filed under: Camelus bactrianus (Bactrian camel)
Lineage: Eukaryota; Metazoa; Chordata; Mammalia; Artiodactyla; Camelidae
Also listed under: 3 other names
Rfam family: tRNA
About the family: Transfer RNA (tRNA) molecules are approximately 80 nucleotides in length. Their secondary structure includes four short double-helical elements and three loops (D, anti-codon, and T loops). Further hydrogen bonds mediate the characteristic L-shaped molecular structure. tRNAs have two regions of fundamental functional importance: the anti-codon, which is responsible for specific mRNA codon recognition, and the 3' end, to which the tRNAs corresponding amino acid is attached (by aminoacyl-tRNA synthetases). tRNAs cope with the degeneracy of the genetic code in two manners: having more than one tRNA (with a specific anti-codon) for a particular amino acid; and 'wobble' base-pairing, i.e. permitting non-standard base-pairing at the 3rd anti-codon position.
Source: Rfam by way of RNAcentral